UACGUAGGGAGCAAGCGUUGUCCGGAUUUACUGGGUGUAAAGGGUGCGUAGGUGGUUCUGUGGGUCAGGCGUGAAAUUUGCAGGCUUAACUUGUAACUGCGCUUGAAACUAUAGAGCUUGAGUGAAGUAGGGGCAGAUGGAAUUCCCGGUGUAGCGGUGAAAUGCGUAGAGAUCGGGAGGAACACCGGUGGCGAAGGCGAUCUGCUGGGCUUUAACUGACACUGAGGCACGAAAGCGUGGGUAGCAAACA
Molecule: ribosomal RNA, 250 nt
Filed under: uncultured prokaryote
Description: partial 16S ribosomal RNA
Rfam family: Bacterial small subunit ribosomal RNA
Source: RNAcentral